RNAcentral lists this ribosomal RNA (497 nucleotides) under uncultured bacterium. RNAcentral's name for it is "partial 16S ribosomal RNA". It matches the Rfam family "Bacterial small subunit ribosomal RNA", at positions 28 to 507 of the family's 1533-position model. The record is from RNAcentral.
GAUGAACGCUGGCGGCGUGCCUAAUACAUGCAAGUCGAGCGAACGGACGAGAAGCUUGCUUCUCUGAUGUUAGCGGCGGACGGGUGAGUAACACGUGGAUAACCUACCUAUAAGACUGGGAUAACUUCGGGAAACCGGAGCUAAUUCCGGAUGAUAUUUUGAACCGCAUGGUUCAAAAGUGAAAGACGGUCUUGCUGUCACUUAUAGAUGGAUCCGCGCUGCAUUAGCUAGUUGGUAAGGUAACGGCUUACCAAGGCAACGAUGCAUAGCCGACCUGAGAGGGUGAUCGGCCACACUGGAACUGAGACACGGUCCAGACUCCUACGGGAGGCAGCAGUAGGGAAUCUUCCGCAAUGGGCGAAAGCCUGACGGAGCAACGCCGCGUGAGUGAUGAAGGUCUUCGGAUCGUAAAACUCUGUUAUUAGGGAAGAACAUAUGUGUAAGUAACUGUGCACAUCUUGACGGUACCUAAUCAGAAAGCCACGGCUAACUACGUG